GCCUUCGUGGUGUAGUGGUCAGCACGCUCGACGCGUAACCGAGAGGACAGCGGUUCGAUUCCCGGCGAAGGUG
Molecule: non-coding RNA, 73 nt
Organism: Stegodyphus mimosarum
Lineage: Eukaryota; Metazoa; Arthropoda; Arachnida; Araneae; Eresidae
Source: Rfam